This 495-nucleotide ribosomal RNA is filed under the name uncultured bacterium. Its description in RNAcentral is "partial 16S ribosomal RNA". It matches the Rfam family "Bacterial small subunit ribosomal RNA", at positions 28 to 507 of the family's 1533-position model. The record is from RNAcentral.
GACGAACGCUGGCGGCGUGCCUAAUACAUGCAAGUAGAACGCUGAAGGAGGAGCUUGCUUCUCUGGAUGAGUUGCGAACGGGUGAGUAACGCGUAGGUAACCUGCCUGGUAGCGGGGGAUAACUAUUGGAAACGAUAGCUAAUACCGCAUAAUAGCAGUUGUUGCAUGACAACUGUUUGAAAGGUGCAAAUGCAUCACUACCAGAUGGACCUGCGUUGUAUUAGCUAGUUGGUGGGGUAAAGGCUCACCAAGGCGACGAUACAUAGCCGACCUGAGAGGGGGAUCGGCCACGCUGGGACUGAGACACGGCCCAGACUCCUACGGGAGGCAGCAGUAGGGAAUCUUCGGCAAUGGACGGAAGUCUGACCGAGCAACGCCGCGUGAGUGAAGAAGGUUUUCGGAUCGUAAAGCUCUGUUGUAAGAGAAGAACGAGUGUGAGAGUGGAAAGUUCACACUGUGACGGUAUCUUACCAGAAAGGGACGGCUAACUACGUG